Molecule: ribosomal RNA, 253 nt
Filed under: uncultured bacterium
Lineage: Bacteria
Description: partial 16S ribosomal RNA
Rfam family: Bacterial small subunit ribosomal RNA
Source: RNAcentral
CACGGGGGGAGCAAGCGUUGUUCGGAAUCACUGGGCGUAAAGGGCGUGUAGGCGGUCAGGUAAGUGGGAUGUGAAAUGCCCCGGCUCACCCGGGGACCGGCAUCCCAUACUGCUUGGCUUGAGUACGGGAGAGGAUGUGGGAAUUCCUGGUGUAGCGGUGAAAUGCGUAGAUAUCAGGAAGAACACCCGUGGCGAAAGCGGCUCUCUGGAACGGUACUGACGCUGAGACGCGAAAGCGUGGGGAGCGAACAGG